AGUGAACGCUGGCGGUAGGCCUAACACAUGCAAGUCGAACGGCAGCACAGGAGAGCUUGCUCUCUGGGUGGCGAGUGGCGGACGUGUGAGGAAUACAUCGGAAUCUACUUUUUCGUGGGGGAUAACGUAGGGAAACUUACGCUAAUACCGCAUACGACCUACGGGUGAAAGCAGGGGAUCUUCGGACCUUGCGCGAUUGAAUGAGCCGAUGUCGGAUUAGCUAGUUGGCGGGGUAAAGGCCCACCAAGGCGACGAUCCGUAGCUGGUCUGAGAGGGUGAGCAGCCACACGGGAAAUGAGACACGGUCCAGAAGCCUACGGGAGGCGGCAGUGGGGAAUAUUGGACAAUGGGCGCAAGCCUGAUCCAGCCAUACCGCGUGGGUGAAGAAGGCCUUCGGGUUGUAAAGCCCUUUUGUUGGGAAAGAAAUCCAGCUGGUUAAUACCCGGUUGGGAUGACGGUACCCAAAGAAUAAGCACCGGCUAACUUCGUGCCAGCAGCCGCCGUAA
RNAcentral lists this ribosomal RNA (506 nucleotides) under uncultured bacterium. RNAcentral's name for it is "partial 16S ribosomal RNA". It matches the Rfam family "Bacterial small subunit ribosomal RNA", at positions 29 to 523 of the family's 1533-position model. The record is from RNAcentral.